GUACCUUCAAGCUCUGCUUGGUGUUGGGUGUUUGUCCUCGCUCCUCUGGGGUAGGACUCGCCUUAAAGUAAUUGGCAGCCAGUGUUUUGGUUUGAAGCGCAGCACAAGUCGCGAUUCAAGCUUAAUCAGUAGCUUUCCAUAAGACAUCUAUCAC
RNAcentral lists this unclassified non-coding RNA (154 nucleotides) under uncultured Ascomycota. RNAcentral describes it as "sequence contains ITS2". Lineage: Eukaryota; Fungi; Ascomycota. The record is from RNAcentral.